GGGGGGAUAGCUGGUAGAGCAUCGGUUUCUUAACUCAAAGGUCGUUGGUUCGACCCCCGGCUUCCCCGG
This is a non-coding RNA of Aphanomyces astaci, 69 nucleotides long. The record is from the annotation of a RefSeq genome assembly. NCBI's taxonomy places the organism in Eukaryota, Oomycota, Saprolegniomycetes, Saprolegniales, Verrucalvaceae.